GGGCCUGUUUUGGAUUCGAUUGCAAGCGGAUUUCGUCGGACGCACGCCGGAGGCUCGGCUCCGUAAAAACGGAAUUCAUUUAAUUGCUGAUAAUAAAAGCAGAAGAAGCGCAACCCGCAGAGUUUCGGCUCGCCGCGUAGCGCUUGCGGCUUAACUUAGUUAGGCUCCGUCCUCUUCCGAUUGCCUACGGUCGGAAACAGGGCGUCAACUUAGUGGGGAACGUUUUAUUUGAAAAAACUUCCGUUCGGAUAAAAUGAAUUUAGGGAAGUAUGCCCGAAAAAGAGUCGUCUGCGGACUCUUUCAGGGCGAGAUUUGAUCGCAGACUAAGCGUGUAGUGUCCGCGGAGGAACCUUGUAAGACCGCAGUUCAAUUCUGCGCAGGUCCACCA
RNAcentral lists this transfer-messenger RNA (388 nucleotides) under Clostridia bacterium. It matches the Rfam family "transfer-messenger RNA". Rfam says of the family: Bacterial tmRNA, also known as 10Sa RNA or SsrA, is named for its dual tRNA and mRNA-like properties. Its role is to liberate the mRNA from a stalled ribosome. The record is from RNAcentral. Lineage: Bacteria; Bacillati; Bacillota; Clostridia.